UAUGGUGGGAACUUUGAAGGAACUGCCGGUGAUAAGCCGGAGGAAGGUGGGGAUGACGUCAAGUCCUCAUGGCCCUUACGGGCCGGGCUACACACGUGAUACAAUGGUAACUACAAAGGGCAGCGAAGGAGCGAUCUGGAGCAAAUCUCAAAAAGUUACCUCAGUUCGGAUUGCACUCUGCAACUCGAGUGCAUGAAGUUGGAAUCGCUAGUAAUCGUAGAUCAGCGCGCUACGGUGAAUACGUUCCCGGGUCUUGUACACACCGCCCGUCACACCAUGGGAGUUGGUUUUACCUGAAGCUGGUUUGCUAACCGUAAGGAGGCAGCCAACCACGGUAAGAUUAGCGACUGGGGUGAAGUCGUAACAAGGUAGCCGUACCGGAAGGUGCGGCUGGAUCACCUCCUUA
Molecule: ribosomal RNA, 406 nt
Filed under: Phycisphaerales bacterium
Lineage: Bacteria; Pseudomonadati; Planctomycetota; Phycisphaerae; Phycisphaerales
Description: bacterial SSU rRNA
Rfam family: Bacterial small subunit ribosomal RNA
Source: RNAcentral